This 471-nucleotide ribosomal RNA is filed under the name uncultured bacterium. RNAcentral's name for it is "SSU rRNA". It matches the Rfam family "Bacterial small subunit ribosomal RNA", at positions 26 to 518 of the family's 1533-position model. The record is from RNAcentral.
AGGACUAACGCUGGCGGCGUGCCUAACACAUGCAAGUCGAACGUCUCUUUCUUCGGGAAGAGGAGUGGCGGACGGGUGAGGAACACGUGGGAACCUGCCCUUCAGUGAGGAAUACCGGCGAGAAAUCGCCGACAAGACCGCAUAGCCUCGGUGCAAGUCGAGGAAAGCUCUCUCGAGAGAGGGAGCGCCACACGAGGAGCCUGCGCCCGAUUAGCUAGCUGGUGGAGUAAUGGUUCACCAGGGCGACGAUCGGUAGCUGGUCUGAGAGGACGAUCAGCCACACUGGGAUUGAGAACGGCCCAGACUCCUACGGGGGGCAGCAGUGAGGAAUUUUCGUCAAUGGGGGCAACCCUGAACGAGCAACGCCGCGUGCAGGAAGAAGGUUUUCGGAUCGUAAACUGCUUUUUCUCGGGGAAGAGAACGGACGGUACCCGAGGAAUCAGCCCCGGCUAACUACGUGCCAGCAGCCGC